This 577-nucleotide ribosomal RNA is filed under the name Staphylococcus aureus. Its description in RNAcentral is "bacterial SSU rRNA". It matches the Rfam family "Bacterial small subunit ribosomal RNA", at positions 26 to 585 of the family's 1533-position model. The record is from RNAcentral. Lineage: Bacteria; Bacillati; Bacillota; Bacilli; Caryophanales; Staphylococcaceae.
AGGAUGAACGCUGGCGGCGUGCCUAAUACAUGCAAGUCGAGCGAACGGACGAGAAGCUUGCUUCUCUGAUGUUAGCGGCGGACGGGUGAGUAACACGUGGAUAACCUACCUAUAAGACUGGGAUAACUUCGGGAAACCGGAGCUAAUACCGGAUAAUAUUUUGAACCGCAUGGUUCAAAAGUGAAAGACGGUCUUGCUGUCACUUAUAGAUGGAUCCGCGCUGCAUUAGCUAGUUGGUAAGGUAACGGCUUACCAAGGCAACGAUGCAUAGCCGACCUGAGAGGGUGAUCGGCCACACUGGAACUGAGACACGGUCCAGACUCCUACGGGAGGCAGCAGUAGGGAAUCUUCCGCAAUGGGCGAAAGCCUGACGGAGCAACGCCGCGUGAGUGAUGAAGGUCUUCGGAUCGUAAAACUCUGUUAUUAGGGAAGAACAUAUGUGUAAGUAACUGUGCACAUCUUGACGGUACCUAAUCAGAAAGCCACGGCUAACUACGUGCCAGCAGCCGCGGUAAUACGUAGGUGGCAAGCGUUAUCCGGAAUUAUUGGGCGUAAAGCGCGCGUAGGCGGUUUUUUA